Molecule: unclassified non-coding RNA, 169 nt
Filed under: uncultured Rasamsonia
Lineage: Eukaryota; Fungi; Ascomycota; Eurotiomycetes; Eurotiales; Trichocomaceae
Description: sequence contains ITS2
Source: RNAcentral
CUGUACCUCAAGCCCGGCUUGUGUGUUGGGCCUACCGUCCCCUUGGACGGUGACCUGAAAGGCAGUGGCGGCGUCGCGUCCCGGUCCUUGAAGCGUAUGGGGCUUUGUCACCCGCUUGGAGGCCGGCCGACCCCGUAGCCCAUCGUGGAUCUUCCACAAUUUUUUUCCU